GAGCGGUAACGGGUCCAGCUUGCUGGAUGCCGACGAGCGGCGGACGGGUGAGUAAUGCAUAGGAAUCUGCCCAGUCGUGGGGGAUAACCUGGGGAAACCCAGGCUAAUACCGCAUACGUCCUACGGGAGAAAGCGGGGGCUUCGUGUUCUUCGGAAUAAGGACCUCGCGCGAUUGGAUGAGCCUAUGUCGGAUUAGCUGGUUGGUGAGGUAACGGCUCACCAAGGCGACGAUCCGUAGCUGGUCUGAGAGGAUGAUCAGCCACACCGGGACUGAGACACGGCCCGGACUCCUACGGGAGGCAGCAGUGGGGAAUAUUGGACAAUGGGCGCAAGCCUGAUCCAGCCAUGCCGCGUGUGUGAAGAAGGCUUUCGGGUUGUAAAGCACUUUCAGUGGGGAAGAAGGCCUGGCGGUCAAUACCCGCCAGGGACGACAUCACCCACAGAAGAAGCACCGGCUAACUCCGUGCCAGCAGCCGCGGUAAUACGGAGGGUGCGAGCGUUAAUCGGAAUUACUGGGCGUAAAGCGCGCGUAGGCGGCCAAGUAAGCCGGUUGUGAAAGCCCCGGGCUCAACCUGGGAAUGGCAUCCGGAACUGGUUGGCUAGAGUGCAGGAGAGGAAGGUAGAAUUCCCGGUGUAGCGGUGAAAUGCGUAGAGAUCGGGAGGAAUACCAGUGGCGAAGGCGGCCUUCUGGACUGACACUGACGCUGAGGUGCGAAAGCAUGGGUAGCAAACAGGAUUAGAUACCCUGGUAGUCCAUGCCGUAAACGAUGUCGACUAGCCGUUGGGUCCCUUGAGGACUU
This 800-nucleotide ribosomal RNA is filed under the name Halomonas sp. Its description in RNAcentral is "bacterial SSU rRNA". It matches the Rfam family "Bacterial small subunit ribosomal RNA", at positions 64 to 841 of the family's 1533-position model. The record is from RNAcentral. Lineage: Bacteria; Pseudomonadati; Pseudomonadota; Gammaproteobacteria; Oceanospirillales; Halomonadaceae.